Molecule: ribosomal RNA, 473 nt
Filed under: uncultured bacterium
Lineage: Bacteria
Description: bacterial SSU rRNA
Rfam family: Bacterial small subunit ribosomal RNA
Source: RNAcentral
ACUCCUACGGGAGGCAGCAGUGGGGAAUUUUGGACAAUGGGCGCAAGCCUGAUCCAGCAAUGCCGCGUGCAGGAUGAAGGCCUUCGGGUUGUAAACUGCUUUUGUACGGAACGAAAAGGCUCUGGCUAAUACCUGGGGCUGAUGACGGUACCGUAAGAAUAAGCACCGGCUAACUACGUGCCAGCAGCCGCGGUAAUACGUAGGGUGCGAGCGUUAAUCGGAAUUACUGGGCGUAAAGCGUGCGCAGGCGGUUUUGUAAGACAGGUGUGAAAUCCCCGGGCUUAACCUGGGAACUGCACUUGUGACUGCAAGGCUGGAGUACGGCAGAGGGGGAUGGAAUUCCGCGUGUAGCAGUGAAAUGCGUAGAUAUGCGGAGGAACACCGAUGGCGAAGGCAGUCCCCUGGGCCUGUACUGACGCUCAUGCACGAAAGCGUGGGGAGCAAAACAGGAUUAGAUACCCUGGUAGACUGUC